GGAGUCGUCGCAUAGUCUGGUCUAGUGCACCACCCUGCUAAGGUGGAGUCCCGAUUAUUCGGGACCGUGGGUUCAAAUCCCACCGGCUCCGC
RNAcentral lists this transfer RNA (92 nucleotides) under Sediminivirga luteola. Its description in RNAcentral is "tRNA-Ser". It matches the Rfam family "tRNA". From Rfam's summary of the family: Transfer RNA (tRNA) molecules are approximately 80 nucleotides in length. Their secondary structure includes four short double-helical elements and three loops (D, anti-codon, and T loops). The record is from RNAcentral. Lineage: Bacteria; Bacillati; Actinomycetota; Actinomycetes; Micrococcales; Brevibacteriaceae.